GGAGGAGGCUCAUGAUGACCAUCCACUUGCUUUACGCAUUCGCGAACUUCAGCGAGAGGCAGUAUGAAGCGGCUAGGGAACACGUCGGAAAACACAGACAGAUGAAACUUGGGCUUCUUGAUUUUCAGAAAGAACAGUGGGUGAAACACGGCAAGGCACCGCCCAUCCUGUUCAGUGCCAUCAACCAAUCACGACCUUCCGUUGCGGCUGCGCCAAAGAGAGGCCAUAAUGUUGAGGUUGUUGAGGUUCCCCAGAUUGGUCGUAUCCAUAAGUGUCAUCCUCCUACAGUCUCUCUCUAUCCUCCCUACCUCUCUCUCUCUCCCAGGAGACUGUCUUUAUUAAGCAUUGGCCCCUGUGAGACGGUGCCAUAUGGAGUAAGGGUCCAGUUUGGCAUACAGCUUGGCUUCUGGGGGCCAACAGAGAGAUAGAGAGCUCUGCUACGGAGGAUAGGGAAGAGCUGUGGCUUUGCUACUUGGAGUCAGUUGGCGUGCUCGACUCGAUAGUUUGUAAUCAACAGUCAUUGAGUCCAGUGUUAACUAGACAUAUAGAUUGGAAACGGAAAACACACACUCACUGAAAUAGUUUGUUCUAUUGAGGGACUGAGACUGAAGGAGAGUGGAGGAGGACCAGUGAAAUAGUUUGUUCUACUGAGGGACUGAGACUGAAGGAGAGUGGAGGAGGACCAGUGAAAUAGUUUGUUCUACUGAGGGACUGAGACUGAAGGAGAGUGGAGGAGGACCAGUGAAAUAGUUUGUUCUACUGAGGGACUGAGACUGAAGGAGAGUGGAGGAGGACCAGUGAAAUAGUUUGUUCUACUGAGGGACUGAGACUGAAGGAGAGUGGAGGAGGACCAGUGAAAUAGUUUGUUCUACUGAGGGACUGAGACUGAAGGAGAGUGGAGGAGGACCAGUGAAAUAGUUUGUUCUACUGAGGGAUUGAGACUGAAGGAGAGUGGAGGAGGACCCCUGAAAUAGUUUGUUCUACUGAGGGAUUGAGACUGAAGGAGAGUGGAGGAGGACCAGUGAAAUAGUUUGUUCUACUGAGGGAUUGAGACUGAAGGAGAGUGGAGGAGGACCAGUGAAAUAGUUUGUUCUACUGAGGGAUUGAGACUGAAGGAGAGUGGAGGAGGACCAGUGAAAUAGUUUGUUCUACUGAGGGAUUGAGACUGAAGGAGAAGAGUGGAGGAGGACCAGUGAAAUAGUUUGUUCUACUGAGGGACUGAGACUGAAGGAGAGUGGAGGAGGACCAGUAGAGGAACGUAUCAUCUCUGUUGAGAUCCAAAUCUCUUCUCCACUUUGACCCCACCUUCCAUGGCGAUGAUUGCUAACUCCACGGGGAUGACCUCCAAUGACCUCCCCCUGAACUCAACAUCGACUCUUAGUCCGGAACCUUGGACCCCGCCUCCUUGGUACCAAUUCCACGUCUGCUCCGUGGCCCCUUACGGAUUCAUCUUCUACUUUGGAGUCAAAGUCUUCAACCUGGCCAUAGGCACACCCUGCAAUAUACUGGUCCUGUGGCAGAUCUCCAGCAGGAAAAGUGACUCGUCCACGUCUGACAUCUUCAUCUUUAAUCUGGCUUUAAUGGACACCUACUUCUGCCUCAUGGGGCCCAUAGACAUGGUCAACAGGCUGGUCCUGGACCACCAAGGCAUCUGGUACUUCCAACGCUUUGCCUACGGGGUCAAAGACACAGGACCCCUCUUCCUGGUGUGUAUCUGUCUGGACCGCUACGUGGCCGUGGUCCAUCCGGUGCUGUUCACCGGUAUCCGUGACAACAAGAUCCGCAUUGGUGUCUCCGUGGUAACCUGGGCCCUCAUCCUGGCCUACAGCCUCACAAAGAGCAUCCUGGGAGUCAUGUCUGUCAACGAGGUGUUCAGCGGCCUCAUCCUCUUCGCCUUCGCCCUCAUGAUCUACUGUAACCUCUCCAUCAUAUGGGUCCUACGCCGCUCCGUAGCCGGGAAGGAGGUGAUGCACCCCGUGAAGAAGAAGGCCUUCAAAAUGGUGCUGGUCAUCUUGGGUAUAAUCUUCGUCAACUACCUUCCUCCUGUGGCUCUUGUUCCGUUCUUCUCCUACUACACGUUUGUCCAGUUCCGCUGUCAGGUGACUAUCAGUGUGUUCGCCAUCAUGGAUCUGAGUUGUAGUAUGGAGCCACUUCUGUAUAUUACCAAGAUGGACAGGCCUGCGUGUGUACCUGGCUGGUGCUGUGCGGGGGAGAGCUCGGCCAAGAAACCCUACGAGGUUAAAGUGUGAUGGGGCUCAUCACUAUCCUGCCAAGUUACAAAGUCAGAAGGCCCAAUCAUUUCUACGAUUCCUCUUCUUAAACUCUGAUUUUAAACCUUAACUUUAACCGAACCUUAACCACACUGCUAACCGUAUGCCUAACCCUAACCUUAAAUUAAGACCAAAAAUAACAUUUCUGUUGGCAGAAAUGUUUACGAUAAAGCCAAUUCUGACUUUGUAGCUUGGCCAUCUACUGGGAACCAUGUGAUGAGGGAGAGAAGAAGAGGCUGGUGGGUGGAGCUAUACGAGGAUGGGUUCAUUGUAAUGGCUGGAAUGGAAUAAAUGGAAUGGACCAUGUGUUUCAUGUGCGUGAUUCUGUUCCAUUUAUUCUAUUCCAACCAUUACAAUGAGCCUGUCCUCCUAUAUCUCUGCCCACCAGCCUCCAGUGGGGUGACCAUCUACCAACUACCAACUCCUGUCCUGGAGAGCCACUGCUGUGCAGGCUUUAGUUCCAGCCCUGCAGUACACAUUAUAUUCAGCCUGCACACUCCUGGCAUGUCUUAAAUUAGGUAGGCCGCAAUACACGCAUUUAGAUAUAUCACAGGGUAAAUGUAUUGUGUGUGGACAUGUAUACUGCUGUAUUGCCAA
This is a long non-coding RNA of Oncorhynchus tshawytscha (Chinook salmon), 2867 nucleotides long. The record is from Ensembl. Lineage: Eukaryota; Metazoa; Chordata; Actinopteri; Salmoniformes; Salmonidae.